GAAGAGGUCAGUUCCUGCACACAGAGACAUAGAGGAGUUCAGUUCCUGCACACAGAGAUAGGUCAGAGGUCAGUUCCUGCACACAGAGAUAGGGCAGAGGUCAGUUCCUGCACACAGAGACAUAGAGGAGGUCAGUUCCUGCACACAGAGACAUAGAGGAGGUCAGUUCCUGCACACAGAGACAUAGAGGAGGUCAGUUCCUGCACACAGAGAUA
Long non-coding RNA from Nanorana parkeri, 215 nucleotides. RefSeq lists it as uncharacterized. The transcript is spliced from 3 exons. NCBI's taxonomy places the organism in Eukaryota, Metazoa, Chordata, Amphibia, Anura, Dicroglossidae. The record is from RefSeq and is a predicted model, not a curated record.